UUAAGCUAUAAAGAGCACAGGGUGGAUGCCUAGGCACUGAGAGCCGAUGAAGGACGUGAUAAGCUGCGAAAAGCCACGGGGAGGAGCAAAUAUCCUUUGAGCCGUGGAUAUCCGAAUGGGGGAACCCACUUAAGUAAACCUUAAGUACUGACAAGCCAAUACAUAACUUGCCAGAGGGAACCCGGGGAACUGAAACAUCUAAGUACCCGGAGGAAGAGAAAGAAACAUCGAUUUCCUUAGUAGCGGCGAGCGAAAGGGAAAGAGCCCAAACCGAGAGAUUUAUCUUUCGGGGUUAGGACUGCAUAAUUGAUCUGCGAUUGAUAGGAGAAUGGUCUGGGAAGUCCAGCAGGAAAGCGUGAAAGCCGCGUAUCCGAAAUUGAAAGCAGCAAGGCAGUAUCCAGAGUACCACGAGACACGAGGAACCUUGUGGGAAUGAGCGGAGACCACUCCGUAAGGCUAAAUACUACUCAGUGACCGAUAGCGCAUAGUACUGUGAAGGAAAGGUGAAAAGGACCCCGGGAGGGGAGUGAAAGAGAACCUGAAACCCUGUGUUUACAAGCUGUCGGAGCACGUUAGUGCGACGGCGUACUUUUUGUAGAACGGUCCGGCGAGUUAUGAUACGCGGUAAGGUUAAGGACUUAAGGUCCGGAGCCGAAGCGAAAGCGAGUGUUAAGAGCACGAGGAAUCACGUAUCAUAGACCCGAAACCGGGUGAUCUAUCCAUGUCCAGGAUGAAGCUGCCGUAAGAGGUAGUGGAGGUCCGAACACACAUCCGUUGAAAAGGGUGGUGAUGAGGUGUGGAUAGGGGAGAAAUUCCAAUCGAACCCGGAGAUAGCUGGUUCUCCUCGAAAUAGCUUUAGGGCUAGCCUUCAGUUAGUCUGCCGCAGGUAGAGCACUGAAUUUCCUAGGGGGCGUCAAAGCCUACCGAAGAAUAUCAAACUGCGAAUGGCGGACAGAUGAUGCUGGGGAGUCAGACUGCACGAGAUAAGUUGGGUGGUCAAAAGGGAAAGAGCCCAGACCUACAGCUAAGGUCCCAAAGUGCGUGUUAAGUGGAAAAGGAUGUGGGAUUUCGAAGACAACUAGGAUGUUGGCUCAGAAGCAGCCAUACAUUAAAAGAGUGCGUAAUAGCUCACUAGUCGAGAGGUCCUGCGCCGAAAAUGUCCGGGGCUGAAACACAACACCGAAGCUGCGGAACCCGCAAGGGUUGGUAGAGGAGCAUUCUUAAAGGAACGAAGCAGUACCGUAAGGAGCUGUGGACUUUUAAGAAGAGAGAAUGCCGGAAUGAGUAGCGAGAGUAAGGUGAGAAUCCUUACGGCCGAAUAUCCAAGGUUUCCAGGGUAAAGCUGAUCUGCCCUGGGGAAGUCGGGACCUAAGGCGAGGCCGAGAGGCGUAGCCGAUGGACAACAGGUUGAGAUUCCUGUACUACAGUAUGACAGAACUGUGGGGACGCAGAAGGAGAGCACUACCUGGAAUGGAAUCCAGGGGCAAGCACAGGAGGGGUACGGCUGGAAAAACCGCCGUGCAACCCAAAGGUGUGACGCAUACCGAACUAAAGUAGGGAAAUGUGUGAGCCGGCUGCCGAGAAAAGCCGCUAUUGUUUGUACUGUACCCGUACCGUAAACCGACACAGGUGGAUGAGGAGAGAAUCCUAAGGCCGACGGAAGAAGCAUUGCUAAGGAACUCGGCAAAAUGACCCUGUAACUUCGGGAGAAAGGGUGCCUCGAAAGAGGCCGCAGAGAAUAGGCCCAAGCAACUGUUUAGCAAAAACACAGGUCUAUGCAAAACCGCAAGGUGAAGUAUAUGGGCUGACGCCUGCCCGGUGCUGGAAGGUUAAGGGGAGAGGUUAGCGCAAGCGAAGCUUUGAACUUAAGCCCCAGUAAACGGCGGCCGUAACUAUAACGGUCCUAAGGUAGCGAAAUUCCUUGUCGGGUAAGUUCCGACCCGC
RNAcentral lists this ribosomal RNA (1944 nucleotides) under human gut metagenome. RNAcentral's name for it is "bacterial LSU rRNA". It matches the Rfam family "Bacterial large subunit ribosomal RNA", at positions 3 to 1991 of the family's 2925-position model. The record is from RNAcentral.